This 200-nucleotide microRNA precursor is filed under the name Dichanthelium oligosanthes. Its description in RNAcentral is "MIR1435 microRNA precursor family". It matches the Rfam family "MIR1435 microRNA precursor family". Lineage: Eukaryota; Viridiplantae; Streptophyta; Magnoliopsida; Poales; Poaceae. The record is from Rfam by way of RNAcentral.
UUGCUUUGUCCUAAGUCAAACUGCUCUAACUUUGACCAAGUUUUUAGGAAAUUAUAUUAACAUCGAUAGUACCAAAUAAAUACAGAGUCCAAGACAUAUUUCAUGGUUGAUUUAAUUAAACUAAUUGAAUGUUGUUAAUGUUGGUACUUUUUCUAUAAACUUGGUCAAAGUUAUGGAAGUUUGACUUAGGACAAAGCUAA